UACGUAGGGGGCUAGCGUUGUCCGGAUUUAUUGGGCGAAAGAGCGUGUAGGCGGCCAUGUAGGUCCGGUGUGAAAACUCGAGGCUUAACCUCGAGAUGUCAUCGGAAACCAUUUGGCUAGAGUCCGGAAGAGGAGAGUGGAAUUCCUGGUGUAGCAGUGAAAUGCGUAGAUAUCGAGGAAGGAACACCCGUGGCGAAGGCGAGUCCUGACGACUCUACAUGAGGCACGAAGACUGGGGAGCAAACAGG
RNAcentral lists this ribosomal RNA (248 nucleotides) under uncultured bacterium. Its description in RNAcentral is "partial 16S ribosomal RNA". It matches the Rfam family "Bacterial small subunit ribosomal RNA", at positions 524 to 776 of the family's 1533-position model. The record is from RNAcentral.